CACCGGCCCUUGGGGCCUCGGCGCCUCCAGCUCCUGCCCCGCCCGACGGGGCUCCACCUCUUCGCGACCCGGGGCGGGCGGCGACUUGAGUCCGGCCGACCCAGGGGUCGACUGCGCCCCCCUCUUCACGGCCUUCAGGGGGGCCAGCGCCACUGAUGCCACCUUUUGCUUUCGGCUGAAAAAAUAACACAAGCCAGAAGAAAGAGAAAAACAAAAAAAAUCAAAGGAAAGAUCAGAAAUCCUAUACGCACCUCGCUCGGGGGGCAGAUUUCUUAUGGGAGCUUGGAGCUCCUUAGGGGCC
Molecule: long non-coding RNA, 301 nt
Filed under: Sorghum bicolor (sorghum)
Lineage: Eukaryota; Viridiplantae; Streptophyta; Magnoliopsida; Poales; Poaceae
Description: long non-coding RNA (SBIC_LNC006087)
Source: RNAcentral